Molecule: transfer RNA, 65 nt
Filed under: Tomosvaryella palliditarsis
Lineage: Eukaryota; Metazoa; Arthropoda; Insecta; Diptera; Pipunculidae
Description: tRNA-Asp
Source: RNAcentral
GAAAAAUUAGUUUAAGUAAAACAUUAGUAUGUCAAACUAAAAAUAUUAAAAUUUAAUAUUUUUUA